GUGCUUGCUUCGGCAGCACAUAUGCUAAAAUUGGAAUGAUACAGAGAAGAUUAGCACGGCCCCUGAGCAAGGAUGACAUGCAAGUUUGUGAAGUGUUCCAUAUUUUU
Ailuropoda melanoleuca (giant panda) is the source of this 107-nucleotide small nuclear RNA. NCBI's taxonomy places the organism in Eukaryota, Metazoa, Chordata, Mammalia, Carnivora, Ursidae. The record is from Ensembl.